CGAACGGGUGAGUAACGCGUGAGGAACCUGCCUCAAAGAGGGGGACAACAGUUGGAAACGACUGCUAAUACCGCAUAAGCGCACAGUAUCGCAUGAUACAGUGUGAAAAACUCCGGUGGUACAAGAUGGACCCGCGUCUGAUUAGCUAGUUGGUAAGGUAACGGCUUACCAAGGCGACGAUCAGUAGCCGACCUGAGAGGGUGACCGGCCACAUUGGGACUGAGACACGGCCCAA
This 235-nucleotide ribosomal RNA is filed under the name uncultured bacterium. RNAcentral's name for it is "partial 16S ribosomal RNA". It matches the Rfam family "Bacterial small subunit ribosomal RNA", at positions 99 to 334 of the family's 1533-position model. The record is from RNAcentral.